This 1615-nucleotide ribosomal RNA is filed under the name Staphylococcus pseudintermedius. RNAcentral describes it as "partial 23S ribosomal RNA". It matches the Rfam family "Bacterial large subunit ribosomal RNA", at positions 1218 to 2832 of the family's 2925-position model. Lineage: Bacteria; Bacillati; Bacillota; Bacilli; Caryophanales; Staphylococcaceae. The record is from RNAcentral.
UUGGACAAUGGUAGGAGAGCGUUCUAAGGGCGUUGAAGCAUGAUCGCAAGGACAUGUGGAGCGCUUAGAAGUGAGAAUGCCGGUGUGAGUAGCGAAAGACGGGUGAGAAUCCCGUCCACCGAUUGACUAAGGUUUCCAGAGGAAGGCUCGUCCGCUCUGGGUUAGUCGGGUCCUAAGCUGAGGCCGACAGGCGUAGGCGAUGGAUAACAGGUUGAUAUUCCUGUACCACCAUUAUUCGUUUUAAGCGAUGGGGGGGACGCAGUAGGAUAGGCGAAGCGUGCUGUUGGAGUGCACGUCCAAGCAGUGAGAUCGAGUGUUAGGCAAAUCCGGCACUCUUAAGAUUGAGCUGUGAUGGGGAGAGGAACUUGUUCCUCGAGUCGUUGAUUUCACACUGCCGAGAAAAGCCUCUAGCUAGAAUAACGGUGCCCGUACCGCAAACCGACACAGGUAGUCAAGAUGAGAAUUCUAAGGUGAGCGAGCGAACUCUCGUUAAGGAACUCGGCAAAAUGACCCCGUAACUUCGGGAGAAGGGGUGCUCUUUGAGGUUCACGCUUCGAAGAGCCGCAGUGAAUAGGCCCAAGCGACUGUUUAUCAAAAACACAGGUCUCUGCUAAACCGUAAGGUGACGUAUAGGGGCUGACGCCUGCCCGGUGCUGGAAGGUUAAGAGGAGUGGUUAGCGCAAGCGAAGCUACGAAUCGAAGCCCCAGUAAACGGCGGCCGUAACUAUAACGGUCCUAAGGUAGCGAAAUUCCUUGUCGGGUAAGUUCCGACCCGCACGAAAGGCGUAACGAUUUGGGCACUGUCUCAACGAGAGACUCGGUGAAAUCAUAGUACCGGUGAAGAUGCCGGUUACCCGCGACAGGACGGAAAGACCCCGUGGAGCUUUACUGUAGCCUGAUAUUGAAAUUCGGUACAGUUUGUACAGGAUAGGUAGGAGCCUUAGAAGCGUGAGCGCUAGCUUACGUGGAGGCAUUGGUGGGAUACUACCCUAAUUGUAUUGGAUUUCUAACCCGCAGCACUUAUCGUGCUGGGAGACAGUGUCAGGCGGGCAGUUUGACUGGGGCGGUCGCCUCCUAAAGAGUAACGGAGGCGCUCAAAGGUUCCCUCAGAAUGGUUGGAAAUCAUUCAUAGAGUGUAAAGGCAUAAGGGAGCUUGACUGCGAGACCUACAAGUCGAGCAGGGUCGAAAGACGGACUUAGUGAUCCGGUGGUUCCGCAUGGAAGGGCCAUCGCUCAACGGAUAAAAGCUACCCCGGGGAUAACAGGCUUAUCUCCCCCAAGAGUUCACAUCGACGGGGAGGUUUGGCACCUCGAUGUCGGCUCAUCGCAUCCUGGGGCUGUAGUCGGUCCCAAGGGUUGGGCUGUUCGCCCAUUAAAGCGGUACGCGAGCUGGGUUCAGAACGUCGUGAGACAGUUCGGUCCCUAUCCGUCGUGGGCGUAGGAAAUUUGAGAGGAGCUGUCCUUAGUACGAGAGGACCGGGAUGGACAUACCUCUGGUGUACCAGUUGUCGUGCCAACGGCAUAGCUGGGUAGCUAUGUAUGGACGGGAUAAGUGCUGAAAGCAUCUAAGCAUGAAGCCCCCCUCGAGAUGAGAUUUCCCAACUUCGGUUAUAAG